Molecule: non-coding RNA, 72 nt
Organism: Potamilus streckersoni
Lineage: Eukaryota; Metazoa; Mollusca; Bivalvia; Unionida; Unionidae
Source: the annotation of a GenBank genome assembly
GCUCCAGUGGCCUAGUGGUUAGAGCGUCUGCCUCAGAUGCGGGAGAUCGUGGGUUCGAUCCAUGGUAGAGUU